GAUUUUGGUGGCUGAAAUGAAACAGGCAGCUGGUUGUAAACCAGAGUAUGGACGUAGAUCCCCAGGUCU
Molecule: transfer RNA, 69 nt
Filed under: Myosotella myosotis (mouse ear snail)
Lineage: Eukaryota; Metazoa; Mollusca; Gastropoda; Ellobiida; Ellobiidae
Description: tRNA-Tyr
Source: RNAcentral